RNAcentral lists this ribosomal RNA (455 nucleotides) under uncultured bacterium. RNAcentral's name for it is "bacterial SSU rRNA". It matches the Rfam family "Bacterial small subunit ribosomal RNA", at positions 8 to 463 of the family's 1533-position model. The record is from RNAcentral.
AGAGUUUGAUCCUGGCUCAGAUUGAACGCUGGCGGCAUGCUUUACACAUGCAAGUCGAACGGCAGCACGGGUGCUUGCACCUGGUGGCGAGUGGCGAACGGGUGAGUAAUGCACCGGAACGUACCCAGUAAUGGGGGAUAACACAUCGAAAGAUGUGCAAAUACCGCAUACGCCCUGAGGGGGAAAGCGGGGGAUCGUAAGACCUCGCGUUAUUGGAGCGGCCGAUGCCGGAUUAGCUAGUUGGUGAGGUAAGAGCUCACCAAGGCGACGAUCCGUAGCUGGUCUGAGAGGACGACCAGCCACACUGGGACUGAGACACGGCCCAGACUCCUACGGGAGGCAGCAGUGGGGAAUUUUGGACAAUGGGCGCAAGCCUGAUCCAGCCAUGCCGCGUGAGUGAAGAAGGCCUUCGGGUUGUAAAGCUCUUUCGCAAGGAAAGAAAACUUAUCUACUAA